RNAcentral lists this ribosomal RNA (253 nucleotides) under uncultured bacterium. Its description in RNAcentral is "partial 16S ribosomal RNA". It matches the Rfam family "Bacterial small subunit ribosomal RNA", at positions 524 to 776 of the family's 1533-position model. The record is from RNAcentral.
UACGUAGGUGACAAGCGUUGUCCGGAUUUACUGGGCGUAAAGAGCGCGCAGGCGGUCGUUCAAGUCGAGUGUGAAAGCCCCCGGCUCAACUGGGGAGGGUCACUCGAUACUGAUCGACUUGAAGGCAGGAGAGGGAAGCGGAAUUCCCGGUGUAGUGGUGAAAUGCGUAGAUAUCGGGAGGAACACCAGUGGCGAAAGCAGCUCUCUGGGACGGUACUGACGCUGAGACGCGAAAGCGUGGGGAGCGAACAGG